RNAcentral lists this ribosomal RNA (184 nucleotides) under uncultured Lysobacter sp. RNAcentral's name for it is "partial 16S ribosomal RNA". It matches the Rfam family "Bacterial small subunit ribosomal RNA", at positions 354 to 529 of the family's 1533-position model. Lineage: Bacteria; Pseudomonadati; Pseudomonadota; Gammaproteobacteria; Lysobacterales; Lysobacteraceae. The record is from RNAcentral.
GGUGUGAAUAUUGGUACAAUGGGUGCAAGCCUGAUCCAGCCAUGCCGCGUGAGGGAAGAAGGCCUUCGGGUUGUAAAGCUUUUUUUUUUGGGAGGAAAGGCUGCCAUUUUAUGGGUUGCUGUUUUUACUUUACCAAAAAAAAAAGCACCGGUUAACUUCGUGCCCCCCGCCGCUAUAAUUAAAA